Molecule: ribosomal RNA, 253 nt
Filed under: uncultured bacterium
Lineage: Bacteria
Description: partial 16S ribosomal RNA
Rfam family: Bacterial small subunit ribosomal RNA
Source: RNAcentral
GACAGAGGGUGCAAACGUUGCUCGGAAUCACUGGGCGUAAAGGGCGUGUAGGCGGGAAUGUAAGUCGGGCGUGAAAUCCCUAGGCUCAACCUAGGAACUGCACUCGAAACUGCGUUUCUUGAGUAUCGGAGAGGAAAGCGGAAUACCUGGUGUAGAGGUGAAAUUCGUAGAUAUUCGGAAGAACACCAGUGGCGAAGGCGACUCGCUGGACAAGUAUUGACGCUGAGGUGCGAAAGCGUGGGGAGCAAACAGG